CCUACGGGAGGCAGCAGUAGGGAAUAUUGCACAAUUGGGGAAACCCUGAUGCAGCGACGCCGCGUGAGUGAUGAAGUUUUUCGGUAUGUAAAGCUCUAUCGGCAGAGAAGAAAAUGACGGUACCUGAUUAAUAAGCCCCGGCUAACUCCGUGCCAGCAGCCGCGGUAAUACGUAGGGGGCAAGCGUUAUCCGGAUUUACUGGGUGUAAAGUGAGCGUAGGCGGGAGAACAAGUCUGGUGUGAAAUGCCAGGGCUUAACCACGGAACUGCUUUUGAAACUGUGAAGCUAGAGUGCAGGAGAGGUAAGUGGAAUUCCUAGUGUAGGGGUGAAAUGCGUAGAGAUUAGGAGGAAUACUAGUGGCGAAGGCGGCUUACUGGACUGUAACUGACGCUGAGGCUCGAAAGCGUGGGGAGCAAACAGGAUUAGAUACCCUUGUAGUC
This 440-nucleotide ribosomal RNA is filed under the name uncultured bacterium. RNAcentral's name for it is "partial 16S ribosomal RNA". It matches the Rfam family "Bacterial small subunit ribosomal RNA", at positions 338 to 795 of the family's 1533-position model. The record is from RNAcentral.